Leopardus geoffroyi (Geoffroy's cat) is the source of this 2086-nucleotide RNA transcript. It is a transcript of the gene named zinc finger protein 333-like, with no coding region annotated. The record is from RefSeq and is a predicted model, not a curated record. The transcript has 6 exons. Lineage: Eukaryota; Metazoa; Chordata; Mammalia; Carnivora; Felidae.
CCCCGAGAGCCGCAGCGCCGGCCACUUCCGCUCCUGGCGUCCGGAAGCGGAAGUGCGCGGCUGAGGCCGACUGCGGCGGGUGUGCUGGGCCGCGCGGCGCGCCGCGGUGGGAGUGUCUCCGGCUGGUCUGCAGGGAGGACACCUAAUGAGACCUUAAAUCCUGGCACUGGUGUCAUGGAGUCAGUCACCUUUGAGGAUGUGGCGGUGGGGCUCCUCCGGGAGUGGGCAUUACUGGACGGUGCGCGGACGAACCUGUGCCGAUACGUGAUACUGGACAAGUGCAGGACUCUGGCCCCCAAGGACUGGGACUCUCGACUCAAAUCCCAAGCGUCUCCUCCCGUGCAGGAUAUUUUGGAGGGAAAUUCAUCCCCGGGUUUGCACAUGGUGGAGAAUGUCCUCCAGUAGCUGCUUGGGAAAGGGCGUGUUGCUUUUGAGGCCCUGAAAAUAUGUGAAAAUAUCUUACUGGAGCUGCCGGCUUGCAGGGGCCUCAUCUGGCAGGAUCGUUGUGGUAACCCCAUGCAGAACAUUCUGUGCAUCGUUACAGAGCCCUGGACUAAUGCUUGUGCAGGGAAAGAAUGAACACGGGUACCCCAGGCCUUCACCCCCCACCCCCAUGAGCAGAUGGACCCUGUGAGGGAGGGAGCGAGGAUGGCCCACAUCUGUCCUUUCCAGUUUCUGUGGGCUCUUUCCUCUUAGUACGGGGUUCCAGCACCUUCCACAGAGCUCCACCUUCAGCUCAGAAGCGAGCACCGAGUGUGGGAGAGGAGGGGCUUCUGCUGCAUCGAGCCCCGGGAAGCAGGCGGUCGCAGAACGUUCUGAGCGGGGAGAGGAGGGCCACUCGGACACGCACGUGCAGAAGUUGAGUGGUUCGUCAUGAAGACACGUAGCCCGUAAGUGGUACGGCCACGUUUGGAGCUGGGAGUCCAAUCCAGGCCUACCGCAGAGGUGCAGAGGUAGCCACCGGGACCUGCUGCCCGGGGGUCACACAUCCUGCCACCUGGCUGAAGGCGCUGACUGUUGGGCUCGUCCUUCCGGGCUUCAGUGGGCCUUGUCCUGACGACUGAGGCCCCCAUGGCGGCCCUGAGGCCUCCCCGUCAUGGCUAGAUAGGCCAGGGGAGGGCACGAGAGAGCUGGGGACUGCUCGUAGAAGAGUCCCAAGAGGAGGCUGCAGAAGGGGUGUCUCCGGGCUCAGUCCUUCUACCGUCCCAGCCGCCUCCCCCGUGCCGUGUCUCCUCCAUGCUGUUUCAGGGCACGGGGAUGUUAGCUUGUGCGAGCGCUGGAGAAGGGCAGCGUUCAGAGGACGGGCUCUGGAUGGCAGGGCAGAUGUAACCCAACUGUGGCCCGUAGGUAGGCCCCGCGAUUGAUGGAUGUCAAAUAGACAAACACAGGCUAAGAAAACACCGAACAACGUUCCUAUUCAGAGCUAAGGGCUCCCAGCCUUCCUUGAGUGAAGCACGUUGCAGUGUCUCUGAGGGCCCGUGGCCUGACCUGCAGUCGGGCCCCCCACCCCAGAACCAGAAAGGGUCGGGUCCACCUUGGCGCCUAUGGCAUGAUUGGUCCUUGAGACCCUUGGUGGCUGGCGCUCACCGUGGAAUAGGGGGAGUCACCGGAUCUGAAGCUGCCAGACCUGCACGCCUGACUUGUCACAGCACUGCCCCCAAACUGAGGGUCCCUCGGGCCCAGAACACACUCAGUGCCGCCUCUGUCCUGCUCCGUCCCCUCCGUGCCUUCUAGGGGCCGGGGCCAGACCUGAGGAUGCACAUCAGGCCCACAAUUGGAGACAGAGAGACACCUUUGAUUCCAGAGGACCGGCUAUCUCUCUGGCUGCCACCUUGGUCUUCUGGAUAUGUAGGGCGGAAGGCGGCCGCGCAGAUUCAGAGGGUGGCUGUGCCGGUGCCUGCACUGAGUCUCCCUGAGCUGAGGAUGGCUGGUGAGUGAGCACUGGCUGGAAAUGGCAGCCCGAGGGCCUCCCAUGUGCUGUGUUGUGUCUGGGAACUUGGAUCUCCCGCCUUCAUUUCUUGGGACAGCAGGCAUUUCCCUGCCCCUUAAGGAGGAUCCAUAAAAUCAUGUCACCAUUCUUUACGUA